GGAGUUAGCCGGUGCUUCUUCUGUGAGUGAUGUCCUUCCUGCCGGCUAUUAACCCGCAGGCCUUCUUCCUCACUGAAAGUGCUUUACAACCCGAAGGCCUUCUUCACACACGCGGCAUGGCUGGAUCAGGGUUGCCCCCAUUGUCCAAUAUUCCCCACUGCUGCCUCCCGUAGGAGUCUGGGCCGUGUCUCAGUCCCAGUGUGGCUGAUCAUCCUCUCAGACCAGCUACGGAUCGUCGCCUUGGUGAGCCGUUACCUCACCAACCAGCUAAUCCGACAUAGGCUCAUCCGAUAGCGCGAGGCCCGAAGGUCCCCCGCUUUCCCCCGUAGGGCGUAUGCGGUAUUAGCCUGGGUUUCCCCAGGUUAUCCCCCACUACCGGGCAGAUUCCUAUGCAUUACUCACCCGUCCGCCGCUCGCCACCAGGGAGCAAGCUCCCCGUGCUGCCGCUAGACUUGCAUGUGUUAGGCCUGCCGCCAGCGUUCAAUCUGAGCCAGAAUCGAACCCUGA
RNAcentral lists this ribosomal RNA (507 nucleotides) under uncultured bacterium. RNAcentral describes it as "partial 16S ribosomal RNA". The record is from RNAcentral.